GGACCAGACUCCUACGGGAGGCAGCAGUGAGGAAUAUUGGUCAAUGGCCGGAAGGCUGAACCAGCCAAGCCGCGUGAAGGACGAAGGUGCCAAGCAUUGUAAACUUCUUUUGUCAAGGGACAAAAUCAGGCUCGAGAGCCUGACCGAGGGUACUUGAAGAAAAAGCAUCGGCUAACUCCGUGCCAGCAGCCGCGGUAAUACGGAGGAUGCGAGCGUUAUCCGGAUUUAUUGGGUUUAAAGGGUGCGUAGGGGGACUUUAAAGUGAGGGGUAAAAGCCGGGGCCCCAACCCCGGCGAGCCGUUGAAACUGGCUGUCUUGAGAUGUCGAGAGGUAUGCGGAAUGCGCAGUGUAGCGGUGAAAUGCUUAGAUAUCACGCAGAACUCCGAUUGCGAAGGCAGCAUACCGGCGCUCAACUGACGCUCAUGCACGAAAGCGUGGGUAUCGAACAGGAUUAGAUACCCUUGUAC
This 467-nucleotide ribosomal RNA is filed under the name uncultured bacterium. RNAcentral's name for it is "bacterial SSU rRNA". It matches the Rfam family "Bacterial small subunit ribosomal RNA", at positions 328 to 793 of the family's 1533-position model. The record is from RNAcentral.